UAAGGAAUAUUGGACAAUGGAGGCAACUCUGAUCCAGCCAUGCCGCGUGAAGGAAUAAGGCCCUAUGGGUUGUAAACUUCUUUUAGACGGGACAAAACCCCUUUACGUGUAAAGGGUUGAUGGUACUGUCAGAAUAAGCAUCGGCUAACUUCGUGCCAGCAGCCGCGGUAAUACGAAGGAUGCAAGCGUUAUCCGGAAUUAUUGGGUUUAAAGGGUGCGUAGGCGGACUGAUAAGUCAGUGGUGAAAGCCUGCAGCUUAACUGCAGAAUUGCCGUUGAUACUGUCAGUCUUGAGUACAGUUGAGGUAGGCGGAAUGUGUCAUGUAGCGGUGAAAUGCUUAGAUAUGACACAGAACACCGAUUGCGAAGGCAGCUUGCUAAGCUGUAACUGACGCUGAGGCAA
This 402-nucleotide ribosomal RNA is filed under the name uncultured bacterium. Its description in RNAcentral is "bacterial SSU rRNA". It matches the Rfam family "Bacterial small subunit ribosomal RNA", at positions 355 to 754 of the family's 1533-position model. The record is from RNAcentral.